AUUGAACGCUGGCGGCAGGCUUAACACAUGCAAGUCGAACGAGUGGCGGAAGGGUGAGUAAUGCUUGGGAAUCUAGCUUAUGGAGGGGGAUAACUACGGGAAACUGUAGCUAAUACCGCGUACCAUAGGAUGAGCCAAAGUGGGAUUAGGUAGUUGGUGAGGUAAAGGCUCACCAAGCCGACGAUAUCUAGCUGGUAUGAGAGGAUGACCAGCCACCACUGGACUGAGACACUGACCAGACUCGUACGGGAGGCAGCAGUGGGGAAUAUUGCGCAAUGGGGGCAACCUGACGCAGCCAUGCCGCGUGAAUGAAGAAGGCCUUCGGGUUGUAAAGUUCUUUCGGUAGCGAGGCGUUAACUACAGAAGAAGCACCGGCUAACUCCGUGCCAGCAGCCGCGGUAAUUC
RNAcentral lists this ribosomal RNA (405 nucleotides) under uncultured bacterium. RNAcentral describes it as "partial 16S ribosomal RNA". It matches the Rfam family "Bacterial small subunit ribosomal RNA", at positions 30 to 526 of the family's 1533-position model. The record is from RNAcentral.